CCAAUAGCGUAUAUUAAAGUUGUUGCAGUUAAAAAGCUCGUAGUUGAAUUUCGGGAUCAAUUUAUCGGUCGUGCCUACGGUAUGAACAGGUACAAUUGGUUUCUCCCUUCUGUUGAAGCACGAUGUCAUUAACUUGGUGUCGUGGGGAAUCAGGACUGUUACUUUGAAAAAAUUAGAGUGUUUAAAGCAGGCCUUGGCUUGAAUACAUUAGCAUGGAAUAAUGAAAUAGGACGUUUGAUCCUAUUUCGUUGGUUUCUAGGAUCGACGUAAUGAUUAAUAGGGAUAGUUGGGGGCAUUAGUAUUAAAUUGUCAGAGGUGAAAUUCUUGGAUUUAUUGAAGACUAACUACAGCGAAAGCAUUUGCCAAGGAUGUUUUCAUUAAUCAAGAACGAAAGUUAGGGGAUCGAAGACGAUCAGAUACCGUCGUAGUCUUAACCAUAAACUAUGCCGACUAGGGAUCGGAUGAUGUUAAUUUUUUAAUGACUCAUUCGGCGCCUUACG
RNAcentral lists this ribosomal RNA (500 nucleotides) under uncultured Glomeromycotina. RNAcentral describes it as "partial small subunit ribosomal RNA". It matches the Rfam family "Eukaryotic small subunit ribosomal RNA", at positions 591 to 1092 of the family's 1831-position model. Lineage: Eukaryota; Fungi; Glomeromycota. The record is from RNAcentral.